GCAAGGGGUGGGGGUGCCAGAGGACAGGAGGAAAGCGGGAUCUGCGAGCAGGUGGCUGCUGCUGCAGGGGAGCAGAGGGGAGCUCUGCGCUCUGCCCGGCAGCGUGGGACUAGCAGGGACAUGGGGGGUGCCCAGCCACCCUGUGGGGACCAGCCAGGCCACGGGGGACUGGCAUAGCUCCCUGGGCUCUUAGGCAUGGCUGAGCAGCCACUGCCUGCUGUGUUUGCUCCUUGCAGAGCCACAGCGUGCUCUGCUUGUCCUCAGUGUGCAGCAGGAGAGCUCUGGGGUGGGGGGCUCUGGGGGGACGGAGGGGCCUGGUGGCCACUGGCUGCUGUUCUGGACCACCGUGGGGCUGUAACCCCAUCUCUGCUUGCUGCUGUGGCCAUGCCCUUCUCCCCGGUGACCGCUUGCUCUGAGUCACCAGGAAAUCUGAUAAGGCUCCAGUAAAACCGCUGGAGCAGUGGGGGGGGGGGGGGGUGUCACUUGGCACUGCGGCCAGGCUCAGCCACCCUGAUUUCUUGGCUCGUCUCCAGCAUCCUGACUGCCACAUGUGUGUGACCAGAGCAACCCAAAGCUGGGUUUGCCAAACCUAAACUUUAGGCACCAAGGGGCCUUUUGGUAAAGAUGCAGCCCCUAAUUCUGGGGAGAACUGCAUGUGGGGAAGGCAUGGGCCCUUUCCAUGACAUGUGGCAGCUGAGCCUCGAGCUUUGAAGGUGACGUUUGCUGGUUUGCAUCAGUUACAUUCUUGAUUUAAGCCUCCCAAAGCGUUAGCGGUUAGAAGGCAGGAGGGGAGCCUGUGGCAGCUUACGGGAUGGAAAAUCAUCCCCAGACGUGACCCAUCAAUUAAAGCAGAUGAUCAGCCCCAGCAGGAACCUGCUAGGUGUGUCAAUUCCUCUUUUCCGUUUGGCUGUGUGCUGGGUAGUCAAAUUUAUCUGUUUUAGCAAUUAAGCAAGAAACCCUGAGCGUUUCUCAUUCUGAAGGGCUUAGUCAUAUCUGGGUGAGAAGCCUGGGCCGGUGAUGCAGCUGGUGAUGUUUGGGUUGAGGCAGGACUGUGCUUUGGCAGCGGGAGACUCCUCGAGGCAAAAACACGGGCCGCUUGGCUUUCAGAAACAGUUCCUAGAAGCUAGAACAGGUACAAUGUUCCUGUGAAAUAACUGGGUCGUGUUUUGCUCCCUCCUCGUGCCUGGAUCAGCCGGAGCUGUGGUGGAGGGCAUUGGCCAGGGGGGAUGCAGCAUCCUGGGGAGGCCUCAUGGCUCUGGCAGCAGGAUCCUGCUUGUCUUGGUUGGACAAGGGCCUGUCAGCCUGUUGAGCUCUGCAAAGGAUUUUGGUUGGUGCAGAUUCUUGGCCAAGAGGAAAUCUCCUUGCUCCAGCCUGACCAUUUUAACCUGCAAACAAAUCCUAGUCCAGCUCCAGGUGUUUGCAGGACAAGCCACUUACAGAGAGCUGUGCUGCUGGGAGAACACCUUGUUUGCAUUCCCCAGCUUUCAAGACUGCAUCAUGAAGCUCCAGGUCUGACAGUCGGAACCAGCAAGUCCUCCUUGGCUCCAGCUCUGGCAUUCCUGUCACCAGCUUGAGAAAAAAUCAAGCUCCCAUGCCCCAAUUUUCUCUCCACCAGCGAGGAAAACUUCCAUGUCAAGGACAUCUGAAGCCUGCCUGAUUUUCUGCAUGGAGCUUUGGGUCCCCAUGGAGAUGGCAUCUGAGAAAAGAAGAUAAAACCCUUUUGUGAGGAUGGAUCCCGAUUAUUAUUUGUUUAAUUAGAGUCUGGACUGAUGCAGAGGCAACAAUUAACAAUUACCUUCUGUAAAGGACUUUGACAACAGCUGAAUAGGUUAAUGACUUGCAA
Molecule: long non-coding RNA, 1843 nt
Organism: Vidua macroura (Pin-tailed whydah)
Lineage: Eukaryota; Metazoa; Chordata; Aves; Passeriformes; Viduidae
Exons: 2
Source: RefSeq, a predicted model, not a curated record